CCUACGGGAGGCAGCAGUGAGGAAUAUUGGUCAAUGGACGAGAGUCUGAACCAGCCAAGUCGCGUGAAGGAUGACUGCCCUAUGGGUUGUAAACCUCUUUUAUCGGGGAAUAAAAUGUUCCACGUGUGGCAUUUUGUGUGUACCCUAUGAAUAAGGAUCGGCUAACUCCGUGCCAGCAGCCGCGGUAAUACGGAGGAUUCGAGCGUUAUCCGGAUUUAUUGGGUUUAAAGGGUGCGGAGGCGGAGUGGUAAGUCAGCGGUGAAAGUUUGCGGCUCAACCGUAUAAUUGCAGUUGAAACUGGAAGUCUUGAGUACAGGAGAGGUAAGCGGAAUGCGUGGUGUAGCGGUGAAAUGCAUAGAUAUCACGAAGAACUCCGAUUGCGAAGGCAGCACACUGGCGUGCAACUGACACUGAGGCUCGAAAGUGUGGGUAUCGAACAGGAUUAGAUACCCGAGUAGUC
Molecule: ribosomal RNA, 460 nt
Filed under: uncultured bacterium
Lineage: Bacteria
Description: partial 16S ribosomal RNA
Rfam family: Bacterial small subunit ribosomal RNA
Source: RNAcentral